Molecule: long non-coding RNA, 209 nt
Filed under: Hordeum vulgare
Lineage: Eukaryota; Viridiplantae; Streptophyta; Magnoliopsida; Poales; Poaceae
Description: long non-coding RNA (HVUL_LNC013244)
Source: RNAcentral
GUAGUCUUUUGCAUUUAUUUAAAAUGCCAAAAGUAUUAAGGAAAUGGUUUCCUUCAUUGCUUAUUUGUUUUCAAGAAUUAUCCGAAGAGUUGAACUUUUCUUGAGGCCAUUUUGGGUUCAUUGAUUAGAAUAAGUUUAUAAUUCCUUUGAAUUUGAGAAGUGGCUAGGGUUUUUGAGUUUCCCUUCACCACUUACUUUGAUCUUGUUGC